GUCCGAGUGGCGGAAUGGCAGACGCGCUAGGUUGAGGGCCUAGUGUCCUUAGGGACGUGCGAGUUCAACUCUCGCCUCGGACACCA
RNAcentral lists this transfer RNA (86 nucleotides) under Aeromicrobium sp. RNAcentral's name for it is "tRNA-Leu". It matches the Rfam family "tRNA". From Rfam's summary of the family: Transfer RNA (tRNA) molecules are approximately 80 nucleotides in length. Their secondary structure includes four short double-helical elements and three loops (D, anti-codon, and T loops). Further hydrogen bonds mediate the characteristic L-shaped molecular structure. tRNAs have two regions of fundamental functional importance: the anti-codon, which is responsible for specific mRNA codon recognition, and the 3' end, to which the tRNAs corresponding amino acid is attached (by aminoacyl-tRNA synthetases). tRNAs cope with the degeneracy of the genetic code in two manners: having more than one tRNA (with a specific anti-codon) for a particular amino acid; and 'wobble' base-pairing, i.e. permitting non-standard base-pairing at the 3rd anti-codon position. The record is from RNAcentral. RNAcentral also lists the same sequence under 6 other names. Lineage: Bacteria; Bacillati; Actinomycetota; Actinomycetes; Propionibacteriales; Nocardioidaceae.